Long non-coding RNA from Strigops habroptila (Kakapo), 3872 nucleotides. RefSeq lists it as uncharacterized. The transcript is spliced from 3 exons. The record is from RefSeq and is a predicted model, not a curated record. NCBI's taxonomy places the organism in Eukaryota, Metazoa, Chordata, Aves, Psittaciformes, Psittacidae.
AUCCCUUUCACACUUCUUGGCAGAGUUGGUAAGUGUAAUAGCCAGCAUCAGCAUGUCACUUCCUAUAUGCAGCUGGUCACUCAGCAAAAAACCACGUUACUAUUAUAGUCCCUUUUCAUAAUCAUCAAUUGUUAAGUCUAAAUUGUAACAGAAAUAUCUUAAAGGAAUGAUUCAGGCAGAACUGGAAAGGGACUGUGUCAAUCUGUACACAAUGCCAUGUGUGUUGACAGACACUAUGGCUUUACUUAUUUUCUGCCAUUAAUUCAUAGGUGGGCUAUCUUUAAACACCGUGUUGGUGAUCACAAAGGUCACCAGUGAGCAGUAGGUAGGAUAAGAGGAUUCUGGAAAUGUAGUAUACAGUUUCCCACUGCAUCGAUGAUAUCUUCUGCUACUUACAUUUCUCCUGCAAACUCUGAAUACUCUUCCUUAACAGAUCUUCUCCAUCAUCAAACCGGGACAGAAGUGUGCUUGCAGAAAUUUCUAGAUGAAUACAUAUUAAGUUAAACUCUGCCAUGUAAGUCUGGCAUUUUCCAAAGAGCACAAUAGGAGUAUUCACACAAACAGUCACAUCCAAGUGAGAGAAAUGGUUUCCAAACUACCUAGUUGUGCUUUAACUGACAGUCAUUUUCACAAACGAACCACCCAUUCUCUUUGAAAGUUUAGAUUGCUCUGUUUUGUAACUGCCUAAGUGCAAUUGAAAUAGGUGUUCUGAAGGCCACGUUUAACACGUUUCUUCCUUUAAUUUUUUUAUUCAUAACCUGUUUUGUUUCCAGUAUAAAACAUGCUUAUAAACUAGUACAAAUUCCAAAUGUGAUUAGUUCAAGGACUGAAUAGUACAGCACAGUUCCUCUCUCUUCCAUCUUCCCCUUCCUGAUGCAUUAGAGUUAAAAACAGUUAACUAAAAUCUUUUCCUUAGAGGGGUGUUUUAUAAUUCCAUUCUCUAACACUAUAAUAGUCUGGUAUUACAAACCUAUGUAAUUCAAAUAUUGCCAGAAAAAGAGCCAAGCUGACUUUGUCCUUGAGGUGUUCUAUAGUCUGCUCUUGUCCCACCACAGAUAGCCUUUUCAUUUGUCUCCUGUCUGUAAGCGCUAGGCAUGCCAUUGCAUGAUCAAAGAACAGGGUUUUGUUCCAAAGACAUAGCUAACAGGAUCCUAGAUGCAUUUACCCAAUCUUGUUACUAGGAACUCCCCAGUGAAUUUGUGUGAAUGUAUAAACCAGUCAGUUGGUUUGUGUGGAGACAGUGGCUCUGUGAAACAAUACCAUGUGUAGAAAACAUUAUAUAAAAUAUAUAUAAAAGGGAGGAUUCCACCUCACAUAAAAUUUUGAAUACCUGAUCUUGAGAUGACAGAAUGUUUUACUUUGCAACUUCACUUCAUUUUGCUAGUUUAUGUAAUCUUCUUACCAGGACUUUGUUUAACAUUAGUGUUUUUUUCAUUGUCAUCGACAUCUUCCUUCUCUUCUUCCAAAUAAUCUCCAGCUAGCGCCACUUUGGAGUAACCCAGAAAAUGCUUAGUCAAUAACUUCUUAGUGAAAUAUAUGUUGGUUUAGUAAAACAAAACAAAACAAAAUGAACCCUCUCUCUGCUGAUUAUUUGACAAGCUGCAGAAUACCUUCAAUGCAACAGGUGACCAAAAGCACUUUAGUAAAUGAUAAAGCAAAACUAUUCACUUUUUUAAAUGCUUUUGUAGUAUUAUUGAGAUCUCAAUAGUCAUAUGAUACUGUGUUUCCAAAUAUGGCCCGUUUCCAGUAGCUGUGUGCAUACACUGACAUUCAGAAACUGUCUCCUGCAUCAGGCUUCCGCUUUGCUCUAACCUGCAGCCUUCACAGCAUGCCAAUGAGAAUAUUUCUCAGUUAAGACAAAAAAUUAUAUAUGCUAAGAAAACGAUGUUCCAGUCUGGGGUCUGGAGCGUAAGACCAUGUCUGCAAUGGCCAGGAAACCAACAGUCCUUUUUUCACCUUGUGAAACAACUGUUUUUCAUUUCCCUUUGUGCAAGUGAAUCUGAGAAGCAGCCAGCCAGAGAAAGAGUCAAGUAUUUCAGUGUUCCUGUUUUGAGUUCCUGACGACUGAACUCUAUUGUGUACCUGCAGGAUUGAUUGUCUCUGCACCAUUAGAAAGCUUAGGAGCAAACCUUGUGCAAUUCUCAUUUAAACUCAUUGGUUGGCUCACAGAACUUUGAGCAGAUGCUCUUCUCUCUGAUGUUAGGAGCUCUAAUGGUUAUGUUCUGACUGGAUGCUCUGUCAUUGCUGGAGAGGCUGGGCAAGCUCUGUGCGCUUUUGCUUCCUACAUGCCUUUACACCUGCACACAGGGAGAACAAGUCAAACUGUGGAAAAUGCUUUCAGAACAACAGUGCUACUGCAGUGGAAGGGAAUGGACUUGUUACACUCUCUGAGGAAAAACUUAACCAAAAAAUAAUGAGAGGAAGAAAUACCCUCUGCCUUUUUUAUAUCUAGAGAAUGUAAGCUCUGCAAUAUUUUUCAACAGAAUAAAGUUUUGAUUAGAACAUACCAUCACGUGAAAUGAAUUUUCUAGUAGUCCCUGCAGAAAUUAGGAGGGAUAAAAAGACAAGCAAAGUUACUUUCAUAGUGGAAACGGUGCUACUUCUCCAGAGAUUAUCUUGGUCUCUGUGCUCUGCUUAGUCAUGAGAAGUGGAAUACAUCUUCCAAGGUGGGGUACUGUGACAUCAUCAUCAUGCUGAGAGCUGUCAUGAGGCAGCCAGAGGAGAACACAAGUUUUUUUUGGUCUGGAAAGACCCCACAAAUGACACUGGAGUAAAGACGACACUAACUUAAGGUGAUACAAUUAGUCUUACAAAUGGAGGGCCUUAUGGAUGUAGAAGGGCUGAAUGGCUCCUUUCCAUGUAACUCCACACUCUUAAACCAUGCUGUGGGUUGCUCAGGGGAAGAGUGCGUUUGAUAAAAACAAAUCAGCCUUCUCCUGAUGAAGUCUUACUGCAGUACACAUCCUGCAACUCCAUCUGCAAGCGUAAGAUCAACACAGCUUUCAUUUCUCACCUAUACUUUUUCUUGACUGCAAGCUACAAGUGUUUCAAACCCAUGUUUCCAAUUACAAGGUUUUUGUCUCAAGACUUCACUGCUUCAAAAUACAAUGUGUUUUGUUCAGAUAAUGCAGAAUGUAGACUUCUAGUACUACUUGGCAUGGUUCAUUUUAAAUGAAAAACCUAGGGAAGGUAUUGUAUUCCUAAUGUGUAACAGUUUGUCAAACUGCCUAUGUGGCUGCCACUGUGCCAGAGCCUUUUAAUGAAAUUUUAAGGCAUGGGAAUCAUUCUAGCUUGUGUGAACUGGAAAAGGGACAAAAAAGAUUCAAAGCACAAACCGCAAAGGUCCUACAUUAGUAGGUGACAUAGCUCCCUCUGCUGACUGCAGAAAGAAAGUUUUAUAAAAGGUAAAUGGAAAAAUGAGUUCGAGGAGAGCGAGACCAACAUAAUUAUAUGAGGAGGACGGAAGUAAAUGUGAGAGAAACAGUGUUGUUUUCGCAUAUUGGGGAUGGCGCUUUGCAAUAUUAAGGUUUUGUAAUACUAAGGCUUUGCAAUAUCAAGACUUUGCAAUACUGUGGCUGGGGCUAAAUUACUAAGGGGAGGAAACAAAGGGUUUGAAAUACCAUGACUUAAACAGACAGACUCUGUAGUUUAAAACAAUGUCAUCUUUGGAUGACAGACACACUCUGUGGUUAGAAAGAAUGUUAUCUUUGUACAACCUAUGAAACUAAGCCAGUGCAAACUGGUUCUGUAGUUAAACAGUAGGUUGAGGUACCACAUGUCUGCCAGAGAGUUAUGAAAUUGAACCAUAAAAGGAGAUAGAUAAAUAAAUAAGAGGAAGGGGCAUACGAAAUCGACACCUGCACAAGCAACAC